This 157-nucleotide small RNA is filed under the name Rhodobacteraceae bacterium HLUCCO18. Its description in RNAcentral is "6S RNA". The record is from RNAcentral. Lineage: Bacteria; Pseudomonadati; Pseudomonadota; Alphaproteobacteria; Rhodobacterales; Paracoccaceae.
CGGGUUCUGCCCUUCUCGUGCCUGUGGCAAUAUUCCGGUGGCCUUAAGCAAUUCCGAGGGAGCUGGCUCUGGCUGGAUCGUGGUCCGGUUACCUGGCGCCCACCUGUAUAUACAGGUCCUCGGGAAUGAACGCCUCCACGGUUGGUGUGGUCCCGUC